CAAAGUGUGGGGGUUGGGGAGGGGGUGUUCAGAUAUCAGGGCCGUGGUGGUCGGGAGUCGAACUCGUGGUCUCGAGCUCGUUGCGCGUGCGGUGCGCGAAUCGCCAGCGCCACCGUGACACCCCCACGGUGCAUUACAAGCGCAGACAACAACCGUGCGUGCAACAUCGGUCCAGAGCGCGCAUGGCCAUCGAUAGCGGCCGCACAUCUAAAGGCUGUACAACACACAGUGGGGCAGUUGAUUCGUUCUGGCACCCUCGAGACGUUGAUGGGCAAGUGCUGCAUACUCUAUGUGUGUACUCUACCUCCAUUUGAACGUACUCGAUCUCAUCUGUACACGUGGAGUAGUUGCGCAGCGGUUAGCGCACUGUGCCGGUGUGAAGCCGAUCAGCUGAGUUCGCUUCCCGUGCGCGGUGAAAGUGGAUACGAUUUAGGGUGGACCAUGAGCUUCCUGAAAGAUCAAACCAGCGUGGUGAGCACGCGAGUACUCGAGGCGCCUUUGAUGCUCCCUGGGCUGCAACUCUUGCACAGGCUGAAUUUUACGUGGAAAAAGAUGCAAGUCCUCUACCCAAGACUCACCACAGCGAAACGUCGUGCGCUCCCCAAUUCAGCGGCGGAGCCUCUCAUCCUCGUCGAAGAUUGGGGGUUCUCAUUGACGCUCUCACUUAACUCGCUCAAUAGAAGUCGGAGAUAGACCGGUUCGAGGUCUGCCGACACAACGCUUUGCAUCCACUGUUGGUCCGGGAAAUCAAUGCCCGAAUAUGGUGCGGAGUUGGAGCCGUUCUGAUCUUAAAAUAUCUGCGAUCGUCUCUCCGUGUUGAGAUUAUUAAACAAUAUUUGAACAAUGUCAACUAUUUUUGGAGGCUGCUGAGGUGUAUACCGGUUCAUCAUAAACUCCCAGGAUUCUACUUUAUACCUGCUAAAAUAUAUUUUUUGUAACAAAAUCAUGAACACAAAAUACCGCUGUUUCAAAUCAGGCAGUUGCUUGUGGCCCACUCUGUACGUGUACACAUACAUGUACACGUGUGUGUUAGUAGCGCAGUGGUGAAUAAUACACUGCGCUACGAAUCCCACUCCCCGAGUUCUUAGCCACGGCUAAUAUCACUGGCGAUUAUUUGGAGGGACCCUGGACCUCCCCCUAGGUUAGUUCAGCAUGAAAUGAGUACCUGGUGCGGUGUGUGCUUGUCAGCACACGUGGUUCUGGUCACAUCAAACCCCUCUGUGUGCCGUUCCGGGCAUUUCAUAGGUGCUUGGAAACAUCACUUGCCCCAUAGCGGUGUGUAACUUCCACAUGGUGAUCUGUAUGUGUGUACUUAGUAUCCGGUGCAGACUUGGGACUUGGGAAAGGGCCUUCAUCCAGCAGUGGAUAUAUCAUGACUAAUGAUGAUGUCGACGUGGUUGUUACAAACCCCAGCUGUGGCUCCCCCCGCUGAGCACACAUUAAAUGAAAUUAAACUAUUACAAUGUUUUAUUUAGCCAGGUAAGGCCCACUGAGCUAUACAG
This is a long non-coding RNA of Petromyzon marinus (sea lamprey), 1502 nucleotides long. RefSeq lists it as uncharacterized. The record is from RefSeq and is a predicted model, not a curated record. NCBI's taxonomy places the organism in Eukaryota, Metazoa, Chordata, Hyperoartia, Petromyzontiformes, Petromyzontidae.